AGUGAACGCUGGCGGUAGGCCUAACACAUGCAAGUCGAACGGCAGCACAGUAAGAGCUUGCUCUUACGGGUGGCGAGUGGCGGACGGGUGAGGAAUACAUCGGAAUCUACUUUUUCGUGGGGGAUAACGUAGGGAAACUUACGCUAAUACCGCAUACGACCUACGGGUGAAAGCAGGGGAUCUUCGGACCUUGCGCGAUUGAAUGAGCCGAUGCCGGAUUAGCUAGUUGGCGGGGUAAAGGCCCACCAAGGCGACGAUCCGUAGCUGGUCUGAGAGGAUGGUGAGCCACCCUGGAACUGCGACACGGUCCAGCCUCUUACGGGUGGCAGCAGUGGGGAAUAUUGGACAAUGGCCGCAAGCCUGAUCCAGCCAUACCGCGUGCGCGAAGAAGGCCUUCGGGUUGUAAAGCCCUUUUGUUGGGCAAGAAAAGCAGCAGGUUAAUACCCCGCUGUUCUGACGGUACCCAAAGAAUAAGCACCGGCUCACUUCGUG
This 492-nucleotide ribosomal RNA is filed under the name uncultured bacterium. RNAcentral describes it as "partial 16S ribosomal RNA". It matches the Rfam family "Bacterial small subunit ribosomal RNA", at positions 29 to 507 of the family's 1533-position model. The record is from RNAcentral.